UCGAGAAUUUUUCACAAUGGGGGAAACCCUGAUGGAGCGACGCCGCGUGGAGGAUGAAGGUCUUCGGAUCGUAAACUCCUGUCACUUCAGAACAAGGGUAGUAGCACUAAUAACGCUAUUACUUGAUGGUAUGAGGAGAGGAAGGAACGGCUAACUCUGUGCCAGCAGCCGCGGUGAUACAGAGGUUCCAAGCGUUGUUCGGAUUCACUGGGCGUAAAGGGUGCGUAGGAGGUCAGAUAAGUAGGAUGUGAAAUCCUGCCGCUUAACGGCAGAACUGCAUUCUAAACUGCCUGACUCGAGGAUCGGAGAGGAGAGCGGAAUUCUUGGUGUAGCGGUGAAAUGCGUAGAUAUCAAGAGGAACGCCAACAGCGAAGGCAGCUCUCUGGAAGACUCCUGACUCUGAGGCACGAAGGCCAGGGUAGCAAACGGGAUUAGAUACCCCCGUAGUCC
Molecule: ribosomal RNA, 450 nt
Filed under: uncultured bacterium
Lineage: Bacteria
Description: bacterial SSU rRNA
Rfam family: Bacterial small subunit ribosomal RNA
Source: RNAcentral